CUUCCACUCUACGUGGAAUUGAGCUCUAUGGUGACUCGCUGACGCUUGUCGCGCGCGUGCUCCUUCGAUGUCCGUCGGCACAUGACGUGCUGGACGACCAAACGUUUCGCGAUAUUCCUGGCUUGGAGUCGAAGCAGACACGUUCCGGGGACGCGAAGAGGCAACCAUCCGUUUGGUUGGCUUGGGAGAGGAAGACUGGGUUGAGUAGGAACGCAGGCGGCGCAAGGACAGGCGUCUCAGUGUCACAGGCUGGUCGGUCAGUUUUAUGUUCCAAUUGGCUGUCUGGUUCCCGGAGUUAAUGUCACUUACGGGGUUGGCGGCAAAUUGAAGAGUGAAGGGCAAGUCUGGUGCCAGCAGCCGCGGUAAUAUCAGCUCCAAUAGCGUACAUCAAAAUUGUUGCAGUUAAAAAGCUCGUAGUUGGAUUUUUGCAUUGGAUGUCCGGUCCGUUUCCUUUGGGACUGUGUACUUAUGGAUGUUCGGAGCAUUUUUCGUGAGGCUACCUUUGAAAAAUGAAUUAAGGCGAAAGCAUUUACCAAGGAUUUUUUUAUUAAAUAAGGACGAAAGUUAGGGGAUCGAAGCUGAUUAGAUACUAUCGUAGUCUUAACCAUAAACUAUGCCGACUCGAGAUUGGCAGUCGUUCACUUAAAUUGACCUUGUCAGCACCGUAUGAGAAAUCGAAGUCUUUGGGUUCCGGGGGGAGUACGGUCGCAAGGCUAAGACUUAAAGAAAUUGACGGAAGGGCACCACCAGGAGUGGAGCCUGCGGCUUAAUUUGACUCAACUCGAGAAAACUUACCAGGUUCAGACAUGAUAAGGAUUGACAAAUUGAGAGCUCUUCCUUGAUUCUAUGAGUUGUGGUGCAUGGCCGUUCUUAGUUGGUGGAGUGAUUUGUCCGGUUAAUUCCGUUAACGAACGAGACCUCCGCGUGCUAAAUAGUUCUGCUUACCAUUUUUGGUAGGUUUGUGGACUUCUUAGAGGAACUUUGGGUAAUCAAACCGAAGGAAGUUGGAGGCAAUAACAGGUCUGUGAUGCCCUUAGAUGUUCUGGGCCGCACGCGCACUGAUGCGUUCAACGAGUAUAUAACCUUGAUCGACAGGUCUGGGUAAUCUUGUGAAUGCACAUCGUGCUAAAGAUAGACUGUUGCAAUUAUCAGUCUUGAAUGAGGAGUUCCUAGUAAAUGCAAAUCAUCUGCUUGCGUUGAUUACGUUCCUGCCCUUUGUACACACCGCCCGUCGCACCUACCGAUUAAAUGACUCGGGGAAAAAUUGGGACCGUGAGUCCGCUUGCUUUAUUGCGAGUGGAUUGAUGGGAUUUUUUUAAACCUCGUCAUUUAGAGGAAAAUGAAGUCGUUACAAGGUUUCCGUAGGUGAACCUGGGGAAG
RNAcentral lists this ribosomal RNA (1380 nucleotides) under Plasmopara viticola. RNAcentral describes it as "SSU rRNA". The stretch from base 247 to 1380 matches the Rfam family "Eukaryotic small subunit ribosomal RNA". Lineage: Eukaryota; Oomycota; Peronosporomycetes; Peronosporales; Peronosporaceae. The record is from RNAcentral.